AUGUCUAUGUUCUUGUUUAACAAAACUCUACUGAAAAAACUGGAUAAACCUUGUGGACGCCUUUUUUGGGAAGGAAGUGGGUGUAAACGCAAAUACCACCUUGUUAAGUGGAAAAUCCUUUGUCGUUCCAAGAAAAAGGGAGGUUUGGGAAUCCUAGAUUUGAAAAAGCAGAAUAUUAGUUUAAUGACAAACUGGUGGUGGAAGGUAGAGACCCAAAAGGGGCUGUGGCAGGAUACUAUUAAAGCCAAAUAUUUUCGGAAUCAUACUGUGGCUUCGGUCAAAGCCCGUUUAAUGAUUCUCCCCUGCUGGAAACACAUUUUGGAUGUAAAAGAUGUUUACUUUGCUGGAAGGGAGUUGACGGUGAUUUGGUUAGGCUGUGGUUAG
RNAcentral lists this ribosomal RNA (384 nucleotides) under Triticum aestivum (bread wheat). RNAcentral describes it as "partial small subunit ribosomal RNA". Lineage: Eukaryota; Viridiplantae; Streptophyta; Magnoliopsida; Poales; Poaceae. The record is from RNAcentral.